Molecule: ribosomal RNA, 468 nt
Filed under: uncultured bacterium
Lineage: Bacteria
Description: partial 16S ribosomal RNA
Rfam family: Bacterial small subunit ribosomal RNA
Source: RNAcentral
GACGAACGCUGGCGGCGUGCUUAACACAUGCGAGUCGAACGGAAAGGCCCUGCUUUUGUGGGGUGCUCGAGUGGCGAACGGGUGAGUAACACGUGAGUAACCUGCCCUUGACUUUGGGAUAACUUCAGGAAACUGGGGCUAAUACCGGAUAGGAGCUCCUGCUGCAUGGUGGGGGUUGGAAAGUUUCGGCGGUUGGGGAUGGACUCGCGGCUUAUCAGCUUGUUGGUGGGGUAGUGGCUUACCAAGGCUUUGACGGGUAGCCGGCCUGAGAGGGUGACCGGCCACAUUGGGACUGAGAUACGGCCCAGACUCCUACGGGAGGCAGCAGUGGGGAAUAUUGCACAAUGGGCGGAAGCCUGAUGCAGCAACGCCGCGGGCGGGAUGACGGCCUUCGGGUUGUAAACCGCUUUCGCCUGUGACGAAGCGUGAGUGACGGUAAUGGGUAAAGAAGCACCGGCUAACUACGUG